This 292-nucleotide ribosomal RNA is filed under the name uncultured bacterium. RNAcentral's name for it is "partial 16S ribosomal RNA". The record is from RNAcentral.
GGACUACCAGGGUAUCUAAUCCUGUUUGAUCCCCACGCUUUCGCGCCUCAGCGUCAGAACUAGGCCAGUAAGCCGCCUUCGCCACUGGUGUUCUUGCGAAUAUCUACGAAUUUCACCUCUACACUCGCAGUUCCGCUUACCUCUCCUAGUCUCAAGAUCUCCAGUAUCAAAGGCAGUUCCGAGGUUGAGCCUCGGGAUUUCACCCCUGACUUAAAAAUCCGCCUACGCGCCCUUUACGCCCAGUGAUUCCGAACAACGCUAGCCCCCUUCGUAUUACCGCGGCUGCUGGCAC